AAUAGAUACCCUGGUAGUCCAUGCCGUAAACGUUGGGCACUAGGUGUGGGACCCCCUCAACGGGUUCCGUGCCGUAGCUAACGCAUUAAGUGCCCCGCCUGGGGAGUACGGCCGCAAGGCUAAAACUCAAAGGAAUUGACGGGGGCCCGCACAAGCAGCGGAGCAUGUUGCUUAAUUCGAGGCAACGCGAAGAACCUUACCUGGGUUUGACAUGUACGGAAAAGCCACAGAGAUGUGGUGUCCUUUUGGGCCGCACACAGGUGGUGCAUGGUUGUCGUCAGCUCGUGUCGUGAGAUGUUGGGUUAAGUCCCGCAACGAGCGCAACCCUUGUCCUAUGUUGCCAGCGGGUAAUGCCGGGGACUCGUAGGAGACUGCCGGGGACAACUCGGAGGAAGGUGGGGAUGACGUCAAAUCAUCAUGCCCCUUAUGUCCAGGGCUGCAAACAUGCUACAAUGGCCAGUACAAAGGGCUGCUAUACCGCGAGGUUGAGCGAAUCCCACAAAGCUGGUCUCAGUUCGGAUUGGAGUCUGC
This 531-nucleotide ribosomal RNA is filed under the name uncultured bacterium. Its description in RNAcentral is "bacterial SSU rRNA". It matches the Rfam family "Bacterial small subunit ribosomal RNA", at positions 777 to 1308 of the family's 1533-position model. The record is from RNAcentral.